AGGUCAGCCACCUGCAGCCAAGGAGAGAGGCCUCUGAGGAAACCAACCCUGCCAGCACUUUGAUCUUGAACUUCCAGCCUCCAGAACUGUGAGAAAGUAUAUUCCUGUUGUUUAAGCCACCCAGUCUAUGGCAUUUUGUUUUGGCAGCUUUAGCAGACUAAUAUACUUCCCCAUUCCCCCACAGUGCUUCCUGGGGUCAAUUCUCAGAUAAAUGAUUUGCACUUUAAUCCUUAUCUCAGGGGCCAGGUGGGAGGGGGCUCACGCCUGUAAUCCCAGCACUUUGGGAAGCCGAGGUGGGCAGAUCACCUGAGGUCAGGAGUUCAAGAGCAGCCUGACCAACAUAGUGAAACAUCGUCUCCACUAACUUUACAAAAUGUAGCUGGGUGGGGCGGCACAUUGCUGUAGUCCCAGCUACUCAGGAGGCUGAGGCAGGAGAAUCCCUUGAACCCGGGAGGUGGAGGUUGCAGUGAACUGAGAUCGUGCCACUGCACUACAGCCUGGGUGACAGAGUGACUUCGUCUAAAAAAAAAAAAAUUAUCUCAGGAAACCAACUCGCAGACCAACAACGCAUAUAUGGUGGGACAUAGACCCCAAGUAAGAGUGAAGCGAAGACUCAACUUUAACCACCACCCUCUAAGUUUCUUUUGAGGAGCUUGGAGAACGUCACUCCCUGUGGGUCUAAGUGGUACAGGCGCUAAAAAAUUAUUUAGGCAGAUAGUGAGGGUAAGGAAGUCCUCGGCUGUUUCCCUUUUAACAAAAAGCAGUCCCUAAAUCAUUUAUUUUCUAACAAAGAGCAGCCUGUAAAAUCGAGCUGCAGACAUAGAUAAGCAAGCUGGAAGCUUGCAUGGGUGAAUGCAGCAGCUGUGCCAAUAGGAAAAGGCUACGUGGCGGCCAGGCAUGUUCAACAUGGCGGCUCCAUCUUCCCUUUUCUUUGUCAACUAGGUGUACAGUAAGGAACCGACAACAUCACACCGGCCAGGUAGAGAAGCCAUUUGCAUAAUAGAAGAUUAGGGUGGGGUGGCCAGCUUCUUUGCGCGCUUUGUAAACAUCACACCUAGUCCACCAAUCUUUGGGCCCUAUGUAAAUUAGACAACACCUCCUCAAGCCAGUCUAUAAACCCUCCCCUCCCCGCACAUGCAUUUCACCGCAAAACCCAAAGACCCACUUAGGUGUCCCCUCUCUCCGCAGAAGAGAGAGCUUUUCCCUUUCUCUCUGUUAAACCUCUUCUCUUAAACUCACUUCUUGCGUGUCCUCGUCCUCGAUUUCCUUGGCGUAAGACGACGAACCUCAGGCAUUUACCCCAGACAACGAAGGUGCUUCAUAAGGUCAUGCAGCUGGGUCAACAUAGGACUGUGUAGCCAAGAGCUACAGGAUGGAUUGCUGAGGCCAGGGAGAUUGAAAGGAAGUCACAGCCCAAUCUCAGAGGGAUCCACGGAGCCAGCGAAAGCUAAGGCGGGACUUACCCAACAGAGGGUCCUGGCCCAGUCACCCAGUGGCACAACCCAACUGGGAGAUCUGAGCAUCUACCAACUGUGGCCACCAGUGAGAUGGUGUCAUUGUCUGGGUGCUGCUUGAGCAUCCACACAACAUGGCGCUAGCUUCCCCCAGAGGCCGCCUGAAAGCUUGUACAAGUGCCUGAGGAAAGCCGGAUUUGGCAGGCUGCAACCACGGUGGAUGACAGCUGAAGGAGAAUUACAGCAGCAGCAGUUAAGUAGAAGAUGUUCACACUUCCUCGCUCUGCAUCUUUCUUCCUGGAGCCCAACACCUCGGAGGAGAAUGGGAAACCCAGAAGAAGGAGUGGGAAAUCAGUUGCUCUGGGGGAAGCCAGCUGUCAUGUGACAAACAGCUCUCCACAGAGGAUUAUGGGGCAUGUAACUGAGGCCUCCAGCCAGCGGCCACGUCAGUGAGUUUGGAAAUAGGUCCUCUAGCCCAGUUGAGCCUUCAGAAGACGACAUGAGGAUUUGCUGCAGUUCUGCCCAACAUCUUGAUUUCAAGCUCAUGAGACAGCCUAAGCCCAAACCACCCAGCUAAGCCAUUCCUAGAUUCCUGACCCAAAGAAACUAUGUGAGAUUAUGUGUCUGGUAUUUUAAGCACUAAGUUCUGGGAUAAUUUGUUUUGAAGCAAUAGUUAAGAAAUACAAUGAGAUAACACUAAACGCAAUGAGAGAGCACUAAACACUAUACUUGGUGUAGAUAAGGUCAUGGAGCCACAGGAAUGCUCAUUUUGUGCUAGUGGAAAAGGAAAUUGGAAAAACCAUUUUGCAAUGUAUAACCAGGUGGCAAUAUCUACAGUUUUAAAGCUAUGCCUAUUAUAUGAUCUCACAGUUCCACUUCUAGGUAUAUAGUGCAUGAUCCUGUGCACAGGAGACAUGCACAUGAAUAUUCAUAGCAGGAAUGUUUGUAGUAGCCUCAAAUUGGAAACCAUCCACAUAUCCAUCAGUAAUGGAAUGGAUAAAUAAGUUUUGGUAGCAGUUGAGCCUUGAACAACACGAGUUUAAACUAUGUGGGUCCACUUAAUAUGCACAUUUUCUGGGUCCACUUAUAUGCAGAUUUUCUUCUACCUCUGCUACCCCUGAGAUGGUAAGACCAUCUUCCUUGAUCCACUUCCACAGUAAAUACAUUUUCUCUUUCUUAUGAUUUUCUUAAUAUCAUUUUCUUUUCCCUAAGCUUACUUGAUUGUAAGUGUACAGUAUGUGAUAAAAAUAACAUGCAAAAUAUGUGUUAAUCAACUGUUAAUGAUCAGUUAAUACUUCUGGUGAACAGUAGGCUGUAAGUAGUUAAGUUUUGGGGAAGUCAAAAGCAUAUGCAGAUAUUUGACUGUGUGGGGUGUUGGUAUCCCUAACCUCGUGCAUUGUUCAAGGGUCAAUUGUAUUUGUACAAUAAAAUGUUAUACAGCAAGGGUUGGAAGAUUUGUUCUGUUAAGGGCCAGAGAGUCAAUAUUUUAGGCUUUAAGGGCUGUACAGUCUCUGUCAUACCUAGUCAACUCUGCUGUUGUAGUAUGUAAGCAGCCACAGAGAAUAGGGAAAUGAAUAAGCAUGGCUAUAUUUCAAUUAUACUUUAUUUACAAAACAGAUGGGGAACUGGAUUUGGCACAGGGGCCACAGUUUUCUGACCAUUACUCUAUAAUAUUGAGAGUAAAAGGGGCCAGGUGCAGUGGCUCACAUCUGUGAUCCCAGCACUUUGGGAGGCUGAGGCAGGAGGAUUGCUUGAGGCCAGUAGAUCAAGACCAGUCUGGGCAACAUGGCGAGACCCCAUGAUAUGGUUUGGAUGUGUGUCCCUCCUCAAAUCUCAUGUCAAAUUGUAAUUCCCAGUGUUGGAGGAGAGGCCUGGUGGGAGGUGAUUGGAUCAUGGGGACAGGCUUUCCCCUUGCUGUUCUUGUGAUAGUGAGUUCUCAUGAGAUCUGGUUGUUUAAAAGUGUGUGGCACCUCCCCCUUCUCUCUCUUCUUCCUGCUCUGGCCACAUAAGACAAGCCUACUUCCACUUCACCUUCUGUCAUGAUUGUAAGUUUCCUGAGGCUUCCCCCACCAUGCUUCCUGUAGAGCCUACAGAACCAUGAGCCAAUAAACCUCUUUUCUUUAUAAAUUACCCAGUCUCAGGUAUUUCUUCAUAGCAGUGUGAGAAUGGACUAAUAUACCCCAUCUCUACAAAAAAAUUUAAAAAAUUAGCCAGGUGUGGUGGUGUGUGCUUGUGGUCCCAGCUACUUGGGAGGCUGAGAUGGGAGGAUCUUUUUAGCCCAGGAUGUGGAGGCUGCAGUGAGCCAUGCUCAGGAUUUUAGUCUGUUCUCACGCUGCUAAUAAAGACAUACCUGAGACUGGGUAAUUUAUAAAGGAAAGAGGUUUGAUGGACUCACAGUUCCACGUGGCUGAGGAGGCCUCACAAUUAUGGUAGAAGGUGAAGGAGGAGCAAAAUCAUGUCUUACAGGGCGGCAGGCAAGAGAGCAUGUGCCAGGAAACUGCCCUUUAUAAAACCAUCAGAUCUCACGAGACUUAUGCACUAUCAUGAGAACAGCACGAGAAAGAUCUGCCUCCAUGAUUCAAUUACCUCCCACAGCGUCCCUCCCAUGACACACGGGAAUUAUGAGAGUUACAAUUCAAGAUGAGAUUUGGGUGGGGACACAGCCAAACCAUAUCACUCAGGUUGGGUGACAGAGCAAGGCCCUGUCUCAAAAAAAUAAACAAGUAAAAUAAUAAAAAAAGAGAGAAUGAAAGAGCCCAGGUACAAACAAGAACAUAGAUAAGUCUUUGAAAAGUAUUGAAUGAAAGAAAUCGGACAUAAAAUAUGUACUCCUAUUUAUAAAAAGUUCAAAAGCAUGAAAAAUGAGACGAUAUUGUUGAGGGAGCAUCUUGAGGAGGUGAAACUAGAAGGCAAAACAAGGAAUUGAGUCUUUAAAAUGCCAGGAUUGUUGUUACUUUGGAGGGUAGAUAGGGGUGUGUAAUUGAGAAGGGGUACCUAAGGGACUCAUGGGGUGCUGGCAAUAACCUUAUUUAUUAAUCUGUUGGGGGUUUCACAGGUGUUUAUACAAUCUGGUAAGUUGUAUAUUUGUGUUUUGUGUUCUUUUCUGUAUUUGCAUUCUAUUUCUCAAUAAAUUGUUGAAGAAAAAUGAAUAUUAAGA
This 4611-nucleotide long non-coding RNA is filed under the name Homo sapiens (human). RNAcentral describes it as "HSALNT0228970". Lineage: Eukaryota; Metazoa; Chordata; Mammalia; Primates; Hominidae. The record is from RNAcentral.